AGUGAACGCUGGCGGUAGGCCUAACACAUGCAAGUCGAACGGCAGCACAGUAAGAGCUUGCUCUUACGGGUGGCGAGUGGCGGACGGGUGAGGAAUACAUCGGAAUCUACUUUUUCGUGGGGGAUAACGUAGGGAAACUUACGCUAAUACCGCAUACGACCUACGGGGGAAAGCAGGGGAUCUUCGGACCUUGCGCGAUUGAAUGAGCCGAGGUCGGAUUAGCUAGUUGGCGGGGUAAAGGCCCACCAAGGCGACGAUCCGUAGCUGGUCUGAGAGGAUGAUCAGCCACACUGGAGCUGAGACACGGUCCAGACUCCUACGGGAGGCAGCAGUGGGGAAUAUUGGACAAUGGGCGCAAGCCUGAUCCAGCCAUACCGCGUGGGUGAAGAAGGCCUUCGGGUUGUAAAGCCCUUUUGUUGGGAAAGAAAAGCAGCAGGUUAAUACCCCGCUGUUCUGACGGUACCCAAAGAAUAAGCACCGGCUAACUUCGUG
RNAcentral lists this ribosomal RNA (492 nucleotides) under uncultured bacterium. RNAcentral describes it as "partial 16S ribosomal RNA". It matches the Rfam family "Bacterial small subunit ribosomal RNA", at positions 29 to 507 of the family's 1533-position model. The record is from RNAcentral.